CGGGCAGGAGGCGUGAGCUGGGCCCCCGCGGGGCUGGGGGGUGGGGUGGGAAGCCCGGUCCGCGGGCGCCCAGCCGCCGGCAGCGGUUCUGGGACUCAGUCGGGGGGCCCGGCCCCGGCAGAGUAACAGCCCCGCGCUCCUUCCUUGAGGAAGCCGAGCUCGAAACGCAGAAUCUCCGAGUCGGAGAAGGUUCAACCCGGGGGACUGGUAGCCGUACGGGACUGCUGAACCCGACACUCGCACAAUCCGAGGAUGACGGCAUUUGGGACCCCAGACUACUCAGUCAGGACCCCGCUGGCCUCAGGUUCCGCGGUUCCGGGCCUGGCUCGCCCCUCCCGGGCCCGAGGGAUUAACCCUUACGCACCCUGCUCGCGCGCGGGGCUCCCUGCCCGGCUUGCGCAGACCCGCCCGCGCGUGGCUCGGAGACCCUUCCUGCCCAGCCCGGCGCAGCGGGGCAGCCCUCCGUGCACCGGCCGGGAGGACCCACCCGCUGCCGUUAACCCUACGGGCGCCGGCGGACGGCCCGGACCGCAAGCGGCCGGGGCGGGAUCGCACUUCCUGCGCGGAGCGAGGGGCGCGGGGCGGGAUCUCCUCCGCCCGGGGGAGGCCGCUCCGGGGGCUUCCCCCAGGCUUUCCGAGCCAUGACGCGCCUUAAGGGGGCCGGGGGGCCGAACCCAGGGACCACGCGACACACCUGGGAAGACUGAUGACUGCCCAUUCCGGCCCCUCGCGCCGGGCGCCGGCGCCGCGUCCGCCGGGAGCGCGCUCCGCUCGGGUCCGGGCCCCACACCGCCUCCCCCGCCGCCCCUCCGGGUGAGAGCGCAGCCCCGCCGCUGGGAGGCCUGGCCCGGGGGCCUCGGCCGCCAGCUCCCCGGGCGCUCGGGCAGCCCUCCGGGACUCCGCCGGCCUGUUUCCUUACCUGCGAGCUGGGGCUGGGGGCGGGGUAAGCGGACGAGGCGCUCUGUGCCCUUGAGCCCCGGCGGGCUGCGGAGGGGCUGGGUGGGGGAAGGAAUUUCAGGAGAAAGGAUCCCCAAGGGGCCGGGAUUGGCUGCCAGACAUAAUCUCCAACACUCUGAAAGUUGUCGGAGCCCACGAGCCCGGACCCCUCUAUAUACCCUCCUCCGCGAUACGAAGAGCUGCCUCUCCCCGGCCCACCCUUCCCCCAAAGACCCGGAUGUACCCCAGGCCCACCUUUCCCAGGUCCCCAUCACCGCGCGCAGCACCCUAGAUCCCAGCAUACAGCAGGCGCUCAAUAAACACAUGCGACGCAUGCCUGGAUCACCGUGGCACGCCUUUUCCUGACGAUUGCUUUCUGGCUACAAGGAAAGCAAAGCUCAAAGAGAUGCGCCCAGCCAGGCCUGGAUCCCAUUCCUAGAGAGAAGCCUCUCCCACCCAAAGGCUGGGGCAC
Long non-coding RNA from Manis javanica (Malayan pangolin), 1408 nucleotides. RefSeq lists it as uncharacterized. Lineage: Eukaryota; Metazoa; Chordata; Mammalia; Pholidota; Manidae. The record is from RefSeq and is a predicted model, not a curated record.